Mandrillus leucophaeus (drill) is the source of this 1900-nucleotide long non-coding RNA. RefSeq lists it as uncharacterized. The record is from RefSeq and is a predicted model, not a curated record. The transcript is spliced from 7 exons. NCBI's taxonomy places the organism in Eukaryota, Metazoa, Chordata, Mammalia, Primates, Cercopithecidae.
AGUUGGGAGAGCGUCUGUAGCUUCCUUGUGUCUGGCCGACAGCUGCAGCCCAGGGAGCCAGAUGCAGAAACUGAAGAUGACCACUCUGUGACUGAAGGGCCUGCAGAUGAGGUCAUUCGACCACGGCCACAGGGGUCCUCACCUGUCUACGAAUACACGACUGAGGCUGCUGACUUUGGACUCCAGGAAGACGCUCCCGGCAGGCAAGGUUCGGCAGGGAGACGGAGGUCCUGGUGGAAGUGGGAUUCAGGGGACUCACGGACAUUUUUCAGGAUGAGUCGUCCAGAGGUGGUCCAUGCAGGAGGCAACAGAGGUGACGCUGAAGACAGAGGUGGAGGCGGGAGCCAGUGGCUACAGUGUCACAGGCGGUGGGGACAAGGGGAUCUUUGUCAAGCAAGUGCUGAAGGACUCCUCAGCUGCCAAGCUUUUCAACUUGAGAGAAGGGGAUCAGCUGCUCAGUGCAACCGUGUUCUUUGACAACAUAAAAUAUGAAGAUGCUCUCAAAAUCCUUCAGUACUCAGAGCCGUACAGGGUUCAGUUCAAAAUCAGACGGCAGCUCCCUGCUCCACAGGAUGAAGAGUGGGCCUCCAGCGAUGCCCAGCAUGGCCCACAGGGCAAGGAGAAGGAGGACACGGAUGUCGCUGAUGGACGCAGAGACACCCCCACGAAAACUCUGGAAGGAGAUGGGGACCAAGAGAGACUCAUCUCCAAACCCAGGGUGGGGAGGGGCAGGCAGACCCAGAGGCAGAGGCUCUCUUGGCCAAAAUUUCAAUCCAUAACGAGCAAGCGGGGGCCGGGACCCCAGAGGUCACACAGCUCGUCAGAGGCCUGCGAGCCCAGGGACGCACAUGACGUGUCCCCUACAAGCACAGACACAGAGGCCCAGCUCGCAGUGGAGCGCCAAGAGCAGAAGGCAGGGCCGGGCAGCCAGAGGAGGCGGAAGUUCCUCAACCUGAGAUUCAGGACAGGCUCGGGACAGGGCCCUUCAUCAACAGGAGAGCCAGGCAGGGGGUCCCAGAGAGGGGUGGGCCGUGCUGGGGUCCUGGAAGAGUUGGGGCCCUGGGGUGAUAGCCUUGAGGACACUGGGGCUGCCACAGGCAGCAGGAGAGAGGAGAGGGCAGAACAGGAUCGAGAAGUGACACAGUUGCCCACAGAGCUGGGUGACCCUAGAGCUUGUGAGGGAACCCCUGAGGAAGGGGGACUCAGGGCAGCCAGGUUCCACAGAAAGACCCUGGAGGGGCAGGCACAGGAGACAGCAGUGGCCCAGAGGAAGCCCAGGGCCCAGCCAACUCCUGGAAUGAGCUGGGAGGGUGAAGGUGAGGGACUGCAGAGCCUGGAAAUUGGGAUCGCCAGACUGUCCUUGAGAGACACAACCGAAGGAGGCACACAGAUCGGCCCACCCAAAAUUAGGGUGCGAGUACACGAUUUAAAGACACCAAAAUUUGCAUUUUCCACCGAAAAAGAGCCAGAAAGAGAAAGGCGCAUUAGUGCCCCACAGCGAGGGAAGAGACAGGACCUGUCCUCAAAAGUGGGUACUGGCCUGAAUGUUGAGGAGGUGGAAGGAGCAGGGUGGGAACCAGGCAGGGAGCCAGCCACAUACGCAGAAGCACAAGAGGGUGAAGGAGAUGGAGAAGGACUACAGAGGACAAGGAUCACCCAGGAACAGGACAAGGUCGGGGAAGACAGAGAAGGACAGAUAAGAAUGCCCAAGUUCAAGAUACCAUCCUUAGGAUGGUCGCCAAGCAAGCAGGCAAAGACAGGGAGAGAAAAAGCCACACAAGACACAGAGCAGGAAAGGGCAGGAGACGCCAUAGCAACGGCCGACAGAAGAGAACAGGGAGGCACUGAGGCAGGACUAAAAGAUAAGGAGGAUAGAGACUCAAUGACAAACGAAACAAAA